GAUGAACGCUAGCGGGAGGCCUAACACAUGCAAGCCGAGCGGUAUUUGUUCUUCGGAACAGAGAGAGCGGCGCACGGGUGCGGAACACGUGUGCAACCUGCCUUUAUCUGGGGGAUAGCCUUUCGAAAGGAAGAUUAAUGCCCCAUAAUAUAUUGAGUGGCAUCAUUUGAUAUUGAAAACUCCGGUGGAUAGAGAUGGGCACGCGCAAGAUUAGAUAGUUGGUGAGGUAACGGCUCACCAAGUCAAUGAUCUUUAGGGGGCCUGAGAGGGUGAUCCCCCACACUGGUACUGAGACACGGACCAGACUCCUACGGGAGGCAGCAGUGAGGAAUAUUGGACAAUGGGUUAGCGCCUGAUCCAGCCAUCCCGCGUGAAGGACGACGGCCCUAUGGGUUGUAAACUUCUUUUGUAUAGGGAUAAACCUACUCUCGUGAGAGUAGCUGAAGGUACUAUACGAAUAAGCACCGGCUAACUCCGUG
RNAcentral lists this ribosomal RNA (479 nucleotides) under uncultured bacterium. Its description in RNAcentral is "partial 16S ribosomal RNA". It matches the Rfam family "Bacterial small subunit ribosomal RNA", at positions 28 to 507 of the family's 1533-position model. The record is from RNAcentral.